GACGAACCAUGAUGUCAUUUAUUUGGUGUUGUGGGGAAUCAGGACUGUUACUUUGAAAAAAUUAGAGUCGUUUAAAGCAGGCUCACGCUUGAAUACAUUAGCAUGGAAUAAUGAAAUAGGACGUUUGAUUCUAUUUUGUUGGUUUCUAGGAUCGACGUAAUGAUUAAUAGGGAUAGUUGGGGGCAUUAGUAUUCAAUUGUCAGAGGUGAAAUUCUUGGAUUUAUUGAAGACUAACUACUGCGAAAGCAUUUGCCAAGGAUGUUUUCAUUAAUCAAGAACGAAAGUUAGGGGAUCGAAGACGAUCAGAUACCGUCGUAGUCUUAACCAUAAACUAUGCCGACUAGGGAUCGGAUGAUGUUAAUUUUUUAAUGACUCAUUCGGCGCCUUACG
Molecule: ribosomal RNA, 390 nt
Filed under: uncultured Glomeromycotina
Lineage: Eukaryota; Fungi; Glomeromycota
Description: SSU rRNA
Rfam family: Eukaryotic small subunit ribosomal RNA
Source: RNAcentral